This is a long non-coding RNA of Myotis myotis, 837 nucleotides long. RefSeq lists it as uncharacterized. The transcript has 3 exons. The record is from RefSeq and is a predicted model, not a curated record. NCBI's taxonomy places the organism in Eukaryota, Metazoa, Chordata, Mammalia, Chiroptera, Vespertilionidae.
GACAGGGCGGCCGGCUGCACUGAGCGCCUGCUGUGUGCGCCAGAGGCCCCCUGGCCGGGCAGAGCCUCCGCCGGGCUCCUGGCCCCAUGGGGGGGUCACCACGGCGCCCAGACGCCGCGUCGCCUGUCCCCAGGCCCGGCCCUAACUGGAUUAGGGGACAGGAAGGAGCGGCUCGGGAGUUCAUCUGCUGCCCUUGGCCCCAGAUGGACGGUGGCCAGAGCCGGGGGCCGGGAGGGGCGGCGAGCACGGUGUCUGCGGGGCGGGGAGCGGCCCCCACCCGUCCACGCGCCCCCCAGCCUCUCCUGUGAGCGACCUUUGCUCACGGUCCCUCCGGCCCUUCUGCAGCACAGGGACACCUGGCCACACGUCCCCUCCAUCCGGACACAGGUGCCCCUGUCCACAGCCCGUCCCCGAGACGGCCAGCCGCUCGGGCCAGCGUGUCUGAUGCCCCUGACAGAGCUCCCAGGAUGGACAGAGGAGGAGCUGCGUGGAGGGCUCACCCCUGGAGCUGAGCUUCCAAGCGUUGAAGCGCCGCUCAGAGAGUGCGGUGCCGUCGAUCGGAGCACGUGGUCAUCCGAGGGAGCAGCACAAUAAAACAGCACCCGUGUCACGUGGCAUAUAGACCGACAUGUGUGUAACUCCACCUACUGAGAAACAUCCGCACGACUGACCGGUCCACCUCGCACGCACCCAUUCUGCAGCCGGGAUGACGGAGUCACGGCCGCGGGGGCCUGCGCAGCCAGCACGCUGACGUCUCGCACGCACGGGAGGAAUCGCAGGAACGUGGAGCCCUGAACCCCAUGGAGGCCAGCGGUGGGGGGCCUGGGGGCCGGUGCA